CCCUUAGAUGUUCUGGGCUGCACGCGCGCUACACUGAAGCGUUCAACGAGUAUUCACCUUGCCCGGGAGGGUUGGGUAAUCUUUUGAAAACGCUUCGUGAUGGGGAUAGAUUAUUGCAAUUAUUAAUCUUCAACGAGGAAUUCCUAGUAAGCGCGAGUCAUCAGCUCGUGCUGAUUACGUCCCUGCCCUUUGUACACACCGCCCGUCGACUCUACCGAUUGAAUGGUUCGGUGAAAACUUUGGACUGUGGCAUUGUCCUUCAUUGGACUUCGCCGUAGGAAAUUGUUUAAACCUCAUCAUUUAGAGGAAGAAUAAGUCGUAACA
RNAcentral lists this ribosomal RNA (324 nucleotides) under uncultured eukaryote. Its description in RNAcentral is "partial 18S ribosomal RNA". It matches the Rfam family "Eukaryotic small subunit ribosomal RNA", at positions 1470 to 1796 of the family's 1831-position model. The record is from RNAcentral.